CUAUACAACAAUCAUCAUAAC
RNAcentral lists this non-coding RNA (21 nucleotides) under Arabidopsis thaliana (thale cress). The record is from RNAcentral. Lineage: Eukaryota; Viridiplantae; Streptophyta; Magnoliopsida; Brassicales; Brassicaceae.